GCACUAGUGGUUUAGUGGUAAAAUUAGCCGUUGCCAUCGGCUAGCCCUCGGUUCGAUUCCGGGCUAGUGCA
RNAcentral lists this transfer RNA (71 nucleotides) under Candidatus Bathyarchaeota archaeon. RNAcentral describes it as "tRNA-Gly". It matches the Rfam family "tRNA". From Rfam's summary of the family: Transfer RNA (tRNA) molecules are approximately 80 nucleotides in length. Lineage: Archaea; Thermoproteati; Candidatus Bathyarchaeota. The record is from RNAcentral.